AGAAAGAUGCCUGAAUUUGAAAGGAUUAUUUUGAUGUAAUAAAUUAUGUCUCGUAAACUCUUUCUA
RNAcentral lists this transfer RNA (66 nucleotides) under Cacopsylla fuscicella. Its description in RNAcentral is "tRNA-Ile". Lineage: Eukaryota; Metazoa; Arthropoda; Insecta; Hemiptera; Psyllidae. The record is from RNAcentral.